UUUGGAAGGGUUGUGUAUUAUUAGAUAAAGAACCAAUGAGCUUGGUGAUUCAUAAUAACUUUACGGAUCGCAUCUCUGAUGCGACAUAUCAUUCAAGUUUCUGACCUAUCAGCUUUAGACGGUAGGGUAUUGGCCUACCGUGGCUAUGACGGGUAACGGGGGAUUAGGGUUCGAUUCCGGAGAGGGAGCCUGAGAAACGGCUACCACAUCUAAGGAAGGCAGCAGGCGCGCAAAUUACCCAAUCCUGACACAGGGAGGUAGUGACAAGAAAUAACAAUACAGGGCCUAACGGUCUUGUAAUUGGAAUGAGUGAAGUAUAAACCCCUUUACGAGUAUCAAUUGGAGGGCAAGUCUGGUGCCAGCAGCCGCGGUAAUUCCAGCUCCAAUAGCGUAUAUUAAAGUUGUUGCAGUUAAAAAGCUCGUAGUUGGAUUUCUGUUGUAUAAUUUUAUAAUAUUACCAAGGUAAUUAUUAUAUUAUCAACAUCCUUCCUAUUAUAUUCUAAAUAUAUAGGAAAUUUUACUUUGAGAAAAUUAGAGUGCUUAAAGCAGGCAACUGCCUUGAAUACUCCAGCAUGGAAUAAUAAGUAAGGACUUUUGUCUUUCUUAUUGGUUCUAGGACAAAAGUAAUGGUUAAUAGGGACAGUUGGGGGCAUUCGUAUUUAACAGCCAGAGGUGAAAUUCUUAGAUUUGUUAAAGACGAACUACUGCGAAAGCAUUUGCCAAGGAUGUUUUCAUUAAUCAAGAACGAAAGUUAGGGGAUCGAAGACGAUCAGAUACCGUCGUAGUCUUAACCAUAAACUAUGCCGACUAGAGAUUGGAGGUUGUUCCUUACUCCUUCAGACCCCCUUAUGAGAA
RNAcentral lists this ribosomal RNA (855 nucleotides) under Cryptosporidium andersoni. Its description in RNAcentral is "SSU rRNA". It matches the Rfam family "Eukaryotic small subunit ribosomal RNA", at positions 190 to 1096 of the family's 1831-position model. Lineage: Eukaryota; Apicomplexa; Conoidasida; Eucoccidiorida; Cryptosporidiidae. The record is from RNAcentral.